UUAUUUGAUACAGGAUACAACCUCGCACAUAGGGUAAGUAAGGGCGAUUAAAGCAAAGUGGGCCUAAAAGCAGCCACCUUUAAGAAAGCGUUAAAGCUCUACCUCAUCUAACCCAUAAUUAUUUCACCCCCCUCCAACCCCUCACCUCUACUGAGCAAUUUUAUACUAUUAUAGAAAAUAUUAUGCUAGAACUAGUAACAAGAACCUGCCCUUCUCCUAAAUAUAAAAAUAAGCCAAAACGGACACCCCGUUGGCAAUUAACGUUAAUGAACUUGCUAUAACAACCCCGACCAGAAAAUCCUAUAUUAACUAACGUUGACCUUACACCAGAAUAUUAAAGGAAAGAUUUAAAGAAAGAGAAGGAACUCGGCAAAUUUUAGCCCCGCCUGUUUACCAAAAACAUCGCCUCUUGGUAUACAUAAGAGGUCCAGCCUGCCCAGUGACAAAAUUUAACGGCCGCGGUACCCUGACCGUGCAAAGGUAGCAUAAUCACUUGUUCUUUAAAUAAGGACUUGUAUCAACGGCAUCACGAGGGCUACACUGUCUCCUCUUUCUAAUCAGUGAAACUGAUCCCCCCGUGAAGAAGCUGGGAUUAACCU
Molecule: ribosomal RNA, 599 nt
Filed under: Chalcorana mocquardi
Lineage: Eukaryota; Metazoa; Chordata; Amphibia; Anura; Ranidae
Description: Hylarana mocquardi partial 16S ribosomal RNA
Rfam family: Archaeal large subunit ribosomal RNA (bases 344-591)
Source: RNAcentral